Molecule: non-coding RNA, 404 nt
Organism: Paramuricea clavata
Lineage: Eukaryota; Metazoa; Cnidaria; Anthozoa; Malacalcyonacea; Plexauridae
Source: the annotation of a GenBank genome assembly
GUUUCGUAUACAGACCGCCACUGUGGCAUACUAAAAAGUUAAAACGGCUCGAGGUUUUACAGAGCAAUAUAUCAAGUUGUACUUUUUAUUACAAUCUGCAUGUGUUUCUCCUGUAGGCACAGUAAGUUUAAAGUUGUAUAUUACCCGCUAACUAAUUCAGUUAUUUGGAAUUGCUUCGUGCUGCAAUAUAUAAUAUACACUGUCACUGUAUACAGUCUAUAUAUAGUAAUAAUAUAACUUACUGAAAUUUAUGGCUUUGGUGAGACAUAGACAUAUAUGAUAUACCAUGGACAUUGGACAUAAUUUAAUAAUAUGUUUAUAGUUUAAAUUUUGCAACAAAAAGUGGAAUUGCAGUAAACAUGCAUGUGAUAAUUAUUGUAAACAAAGUGACGAGUAAAUUACUG